AGUGAACGCUGGCGGUAGGCCUAACACAUGCAAGUCGAACGGCAGCACAGUAAGAGCUUGCUCUUACGGGUGGCGAGUGGCGGACGGGUGAGGCAUACAUCGGAAUCUACUUUUUCGUGGGGGAUAACGUAGGGAAACUUACGCUAAUACCGCAUACGACCUACGGGUGAAAGCAGGGGAUCUUCGGACCUUGCGCGAUUGAAUGAGCCGAUGUCGGAUUAGCUAGUUGGCGGGGUAAAGGCCCACCAAGGCGACGAUCCGUAGCUGGUCUGAGAGGAUGAUCAGCCACACUGGAACUGAGACACGGUCCAGACUCCUACGGGAGGCAGUAGUGGGGAAUAUUGGACAAUGGGCGCAAGCCUGAUCCAGCCAUACCGCGUGGGUGAAGAAGGCCUUCGGGUUGUAAAGCCCUUUUGUUGGGAAAGAAAAGCAGCAGGUUAAUACCCCGCUGUUCUGACGGUACCCAAAGAAUAAGCACCGGCUAACUUCGUG
RNAcentral lists this ribosomal RNA (492 nucleotides) under uncultured bacterium. RNAcentral's name for it is "partial 16S ribosomal RNA". It matches the Rfam family "Bacterial small subunit ribosomal RNA", at positions 29 to 507 of the family's 1533-position model. The record is from RNAcentral.